GGGUGACGGAGCGACGCCGCGUGGGUGAAGAAGGCCUUCGGGUUGUAAAACCCUGUCAGGAGUUAUGAAAUGUAAGUGCGCUAAUAUCGUGCUUAUUUGACAAAGGCUUCAAAGGAAGCCACGGCUAACUCUGUCCCCGCAGCCGCGGUAAUACAGAGGUGGCGAGCGUUGUUCGGAAUUAUUGGGCGUAAAGAGCACGUAGGUGGGUUUGCAAGUCAGAUGUGAAAGCCUUCUGUUCAACGGAAGAAUUGCAUCUGAAACUGCUGAUCUUGAGUAUAGGAGGGGAGAAUGGAACUUCUGGUGGAGCGGUGAAAUGCGUAGAUAUCAGAAGAAACGCCGGCGGCGAAAGCGAUUCUCUGGCCUAUUACCGACACUGAGUGUGCGAAAGCUAGGGGAGCAAACGGGAUUAGAUACCCCGGUAGUCCUAGCCGUAAACGAUGGGCACUAAGUAGAGG
Molecule: ribosomal RNA, 455 nt
Filed under: uncultured anaerobic ammonium-oxidizing bacterium
Lineage: Bacteria
Description: bacterial SSU rRNA
Rfam family: Bacterial small subunit ribosomal RNA
Source: RNAcentral